GGAUGAACUCAUCUCAUCCCCACAACAACCUUGUGAGCCCAGAUUGGGGACUCCUGGUGGCACUGGAUUAGUGGCAGCAACCUUUUGUUGACAACGUUAUUAUUUUGUCAGAUGAAGGAACUGAUUGUGGAGAAAUGGUUGCUUCCUCACAACUGACUUUCAAAUAAUUCCCCUUGACAUGGCG
Molecule: long non-coding RNA, 184 nt
Organism: Eptesicus fuscus (big brown bat)
Lineage: Eukaryota; Metazoa; Chordata; Mammalia; Chiroptera; Vespertilionidae
Exons: 3
Source: RefSeq, a predicted model, not a curated record